GGAAGUGUGCCUGAAUAUCCAAGGGUCACUGUGAUAGAGUGAACAUAGAGGUAAAACAAUCCUCUCACUUCCU
Molecule: transfer RNA, 73 nt
Filed under: Rollulus rouloul (Crested partridge)
Lineage: Eukaryota; Metazoa; Chordata; Aves; Galliformes; Phasianidae
Description: tRNA-Ile
Source: RNAcentral